AAACCUCUGCAAUAGGCGAAAGCUNGACAGGGUUAUUCUGAGUGACUUUCGCUAAGAAAGUCUUUUGACACCUCUAAAAAUGGUGUAGAAUAAGGGGUGGGCAAGUCUGGUGUCAGCCGCCGCGGUAAUACCAGCACCCCGAGUGGUCGGGACGAUUAUUGGGCCUAAAGCAUCCGUAGCCGGUUUUACAAGUCCUCCGUUAAAUCCAACUGCUUAACAGAUGGGCCGCGGAGGAUACUAUAAGACUAGGAGGCAGGAGAGGCAAGCGGUACUCAGUGGGUAGGGGUAAAAUCCGUUGAUCCAUUGAAGACCACCAGUGGCGAAGGCGGCUUGCCAGAAUGCGCUCGACGGUGAGGGAUGAAAGCUGGGGGAGCAAACCGGAUUAGAUACCCGGGUAGUCCCAGCUGUAAACGAUGCAGACUCGGUGAUGGACUAGCUUCAUGCUAGUCCAGUGCCGCAGGGAAGCCGUUAAGUCUGCCGCCUGGGUAGUACGGUCGCAAGACUGAAACUUAAAGGAAUUGGCGGGGGAGCACCACAAGGGGUGAAGCNUGCGGUUCAAUUGGAGUCAACGCCGGGAAUCUUACCGGGGGCGACAGCAGAAUGAAGGUCAAGCUGAAGACUUUACUAGACAAGCUGAGAGGAGGUGCAUGGCCGUCGCCAGCUCGUGCCGUGAGGUGUCCUGUUAAGUCAGGUAACGAGCGAGACCCCUGCUUCUAGUUGCUACUUUUAUUCUUCGGAGUAGAAGGGCUAAUUAGAAGGACUGCCGCCGCUAAGGCGGAGGAAGGAGGGGGCUACGGCAGGUCAGUAUGCCCCGAAACCCUCGGGCCACACGCGGGCUGCAAUGGUAAGUACAAUAGGUUCCGAUUUCGAAAGGAGGAGGCAAUCCGCAAAACCUACCACAGUUAUGAUUGAGGGCUGAAACUCGUCCUCAUGAAUAUGGAAUCCCUAGUAAUCGCGUGUCAUCAUCGCGCGGUGAAUACGUCCCUGCUCC
RNAcentral lists this ribosomal RNA (991 nucleotides) under uncultured bacterium. RNAcentral describes it as "bacterial SSU rRNA". It matches the Rfam family "Archaeal small subunit ribosomal RNA", at positions 344 to 1336 of the family's 1478-position model. The record is from RNAcentral.